AGGGCUCUAUUUUGGUGCUUCGCCGGAGAUCUGCCGCAAGCGCAGCGUCAAUCAGAUCCGCCGCGCUGACAAGGCGUUCCCAAGCACAUUUUGGUAUUUUGGUGAGCCGCGCAGCCCGGCGUAAGUAUCCCCCCUCCCUAACUCAGCUCCUCCCGGCAGCAUAAAUCAUAGAAGGGGAGGAGAGAGGGCGUAUAGGGGUUUAACACAGCCGAGACCUGUUUUUACCAAUCACAUAGGCUCCUUUCCUUGCCUUUAAAUCCGCCACAGGCGAGGCGUAUUACUAUUUUCAUGAAGUAAUCAAAGAGAUCAAGAGAUGUCUUAAGACAGUAAUGCCACAAGAUGGCGACAGAGGGCAGCUCCUCAACAAGUGUCCUCCACACUCUCUCAUAUGAGCACAGAUGGAUUUAGUGUGCGUAAUGUUGGACCCAGUGGUAAGACAAACACCCUUUUCCACAAAUAAAGACACUCACAUAAAGUUGCUCAUAUUCAAACCUCACGUGACAAAGGUCGGUUGAGCGCACAGAUCACAACAUAAACUCCAAAAAUGGCAUUAAAAUCGGAACCAUCUGUGCGUAAAUGACGCAUCGCGCUCCGUGGCCUGGCUCUUUCUUUCAUAGAUGUUGGCAUAUAAAAUAAAUUUGGCUCACAAAACUGAAUAUUAUAAUAUCCGUAUGUCGGCUUAAAGUAGAUAACGCAUCUGAGCACUGAAACAAAUCAUCUGUUCAGCCGCAGCAGCAAGCAAGACGGACAGAGGACACGGAGACGUGUCCAGGUCGAGCUGUGCGAGAAAUAAGAGGAAGAGGAAGAAAGAAAAGGAGGGAGACGAAUUACAUAUCGAGUUAACUUCAUCAUGUGUGAAUAUUUACUAGAUAUUUAAUUUAAUUUGAUGCGGUUUCAGCUGUGUUGAUUCGGUCAGGUUGUGUGUCCAAACGCGUGCCAAACGCGCUCAUCAGAUCAGAUAUAGAUCAGAAUAUAUCUAUAUAGAUCCAAAUGUAUGUGCUGACUCACAUUAAUAGUUGAUGAUGAUUAUUUAUUGCACUGAAAUGUGCCUGACACUGUGGAAACCUGCCGGUGAGGCAUCAGUGACGUAUGACGAUACGCCGCCGGUCUACCAAAAUACUACUGGACCAGCUGCGUUCCGCCUUGCGCUGAAAGCUGACCAGGUUUGAAUCGGCGAGCUUUCAGCGCACUUUACACGCCGGUGGCGAGCACGAAAAUGUCACUGCGCCUGCUGAUUCUGUCGACACCUCCCCCUGCCACACCACCACGCCCAGCUUGGCGGAUCUCGGCUCGCCUCCGUGCGGCUCAUGCCACGAAAAUACCAAAUUGGCCUUACGCUGGGCUCCGCCAGACGAAAAUACAACUGCGCGGGGCUCGCCGCCCUCCGCCGCCUCACCGGCGCGAACGAAAAUAGAGCCCCAAGUGUGUGGCGUUUUGAAGGAGUGAUAUCCCAUCCUUGCUUGGAAUAGAAUUACAACUAAACAGUUGAGGAUCUUUUUUGUCAUAUUUUUGUUUUAUGGUGCGCCAAAUGUAUUUUUACAGGUAACUGUUUGAGACCCAGACUCUUUCCACACUGUAGGCAAAAGCAAGGUUUUAAGUUGCCAGAAUGAAAUGGCUGAAUGAAAAGACCUACAAAAGGCAGUUGUGGGCAGGCAGUGAAAGUGCAAUGUAGAGGCAGAGAAAGAGAGGGAACAGGAAGGAGAGGGGGGAAGACAAAGGACAAGCAAAAAACUAAAGCUAUAUAAAAAAACAAGUUCACCCCUCAGGGGGUAGUGAGGGUACUGAGAGAGGGUCUGCUCACUCAGAAAUCCUCGAAGGCAAAAUGCUGUCUAAUCACUGUACCAGCUGUCUUACAGUGCCAUGAGAAAGUUUGGGCACCCUGUCUGAGGUUGUAUAAUAAUUGACUCUGUCUCCACAGAAAAUAAUCCUAGUGUCAUGUCCUUCAUUUGCCCAUCAGAGCCAAGUGUUGGGUUGUUUUGCAGACUCUGAUUUUAAGUAUUGGUGGUAUUCUUUUGUAUGAAAUUAAAUCAAAUGUGAAAAAUAGGCUGUGCAAAAAUGUGGGAACCCUUGACAUUUUCUUGCUUUGAAGACCUGUAACUAAUCAUCACAGAGUAAUUGGAAACACCAAGUUGGUCAGGUGAGCUCAUUAAGCCUUGAACUUAAUAGGCAGGUGCAUCCAAUCAUUACAAAGGCUAUUUAAGGUGACCAAAUGCCAGUUCUUUUUCUCUUUGACUCUCCUCUGAAGAGCUGCAAGAUGGGGGCCUCAAAACAACUUUCAAAUGACCUCAAAACCAAGAUUAUCCAGCAGUAUGGUUUAGGGGAAGGCUACAAAAAACUUUCCAAAAGAUUUCAGCUGUCAGUGUUUACCGUGAGGAACAUUGUAAGAAAGUGGAAAGCCACAGGCACAGUCCUUGUCAAGGCCAGAAGUGGUAGGCCAAGUAAAAUUUCAGCGAGGCAAAGACGAAGGAUGGUGAGAAUGGUUAAAGACAACCCACAGACCACCACCAGAGACUUGCAGAGUGAUCUAGCUGCAGCUGGGGUCACUGUGCACAGGUCAACAAUACAGCGCAAUUUGCAUAAGGAAAUGCUGUAUGGCAGAGUGAUGCGUAAGAAGCCCUUUCUUCACAGUCGCCACAAAUUGAGUCGCUUGAACUAUGCAAAAGCACAUUUGGACAAGCCAGCAUCCUUUUGGAAUAAGAUCCUUUGGACUGACGAAACAAAAAUCGAAUUAUUUGGUCACAACAAGAGGCGAUACACAUGGCGAAAAAAGAACACAGAAUUCCAAGAAAAACAUCUGCUACCCACAGUGAAAUUUGGUGGAGGUUCCAUCAUGUUGUGGGGCUGUGUGGCGAGUACUGGUACUGGGAACCUUGUUAAAAUUGACGGUCGCAUGGAUUCCACUCAGUAUCAGCAAAUUCUUGAAAAUAAUGUGCAGGAGUCCGUCACAAAGCUGAAGUUGCGCCGGGGAUGGAUGUUUCAACAAGACAAUGACCCUAAACAUUGUUCAAAAUCCACUCUGGCAUACAUGCAGAGGAACAAGUACAGUGUUUUAGAAUGGCCAUCCCAGUCCCCAGAUUUGAAUAUCAUUGAAAAUCUGUGGGAUGAGUUGAAGCAAGCCGUCCAUGCUCGUGGACCUUCAAACCUCAAUGAAUUAGAGCUGUUUUGCAAGGAGGAGUGGGCCAAGAUGCCUUUAUCCAGGAUCCAGACACUCAUUAGUGGCUAUAGAAAGCGUCUAGAGGCUGUGAUUUCUGCAAAAGGAGGCUCUACUAAAUAUUGAUGUGAUGUUUCUGUUAAGGUGCCCAAAUGUAUGCAUGGGCCUAUUUUUGCUUUGGUGCAUAUUGCACAUUUUCUGUUAGCCCAAUAAACUUUACUUCAAUGCUGAAAUAUUAUUGGGUCUAUGAGUUAUUUCAUAUAUCAAAAGUAAGUUGUGGAAUCAAACACCCAAUGAUUGAUGAAUGAAAAUACUGGGAUUUGUCAAGGGUGCCCAAACUUUCUCAUGGCACUGUAUGUGAAAGCACCUAUUCUGCGUUUUGUUGAACACUCUCUUUGCCUGAAAUUAGUUUUUAAAUUGCAUUAGCUCUUGUUGUAGCUAUUUGUCCCAGGAGUAAAGACUAAAGAAGGCAGCAGUGCAGUGCAGUGAACAACAACAGACAGCCCGGCUAUGACAGAACGCAGCCAAGUGUUUUUUUUUUUCAGUGUUGGAUGUAAAACAAGCAUGUUUGCUCUGUAACUUUUCCAGGAUCGAUAAAAGUUUAGAAGACUUUAAAAGUGUGCAGUGUCAUCUGAAAAACAAACAUCCCAGAAACACUGUGAGGUUCAGUUCCAAGCUCAAAGAGUGCUUACAUUUUGGCCAGCAGAUUGAAGUUAAUUUUUUUUGGUUUGUUUUUUUAAAAGUGGGUGUCAUUCGUUUUCUCUCACACACAUACACACACAAGCUGCUUCAUCUGUCUAACCCAAUAGGGAUCAGGUUGUCUAACAUCAUGGAUCAUUUUGGAUAAAUAAAUUUGCUCUCCAACUUCCUCCCUACUCAAUUCUGUCUCUGUACACACACAUACACACUACAGGCCUGUGCAAAUCGUUGGCACCCGCUGCCUGUAAUGUAAUAUCCUAACAAUUAGCAAUUAGACACCAUACAGCAGCGGUGCAUUAAAUUUAUGCGUCUAUCCACGCCUUUUGCAGAUGCGAUGGUGCUUGGUGUCACUGGGAAAUUUUAUCACUGCUUAGGUAAUGGAAGCAGGGAGGGGUGGGGUCUGAAAGAUUGUGUUGUCAGGGCUUCCUGACGGAUGAUCAGAGAUUUCCCUCGUCUUUACGUAUCCCACCCUCAACCACCACCCCCACUCCCACUCUUCCUCUCCACUUUCAGCUUAAUGAGCUUAUUGGUAUUACAGUUCACAAACAAUAUCGCGGAGGCAAUUAGAUACAAUUGAUGUACGAUUUAGACAAUGAUUAGACUCUGUGUGAAUGUGGGUGUGCAUGUUAAAGAGAAAACAAGGAGGAGAUAGCAAAUUGAAAGGUUGUGUGUUUAUAAAUAGGUUCUAUCUGAGAUGUCUUUGAUCCUCGGGGGGAACUAAAUGUGUUUUACAUUUAAGAUUGGUCAGAGGAUAUUGGGUUCUCAGUAUUAACAGGUGCAGCAUUGGUACACUCUAAAAACUCUUGGGUUAUUUCUCCAACCCAAUUCCUGGGUUAUACGUGUUGAGUUAAAUUUCUGGUUUAUUUUUCAGAUCUAUAUACAUUUCUUGGGUCAUAUGGAUUCUAUUGUACCCAAUUGAGGGUUUUUUGAAUGGGUUAACAAUUAUGGGUUAUUUCUCUGAGAGUAACCCAAUAAUUGGGUCAGAACGUAGGGUUCGAUUGACUGUACAUGAUUUCUAGGCCAAGACCCUUAGCCCAAUGGCCUACAAUCAGUUUGAUUAAAGAACAUGGGAAAAUAAGGUACAGGUUGUAAAAGCAAAGCUCCCAAAAAAAAGCUCCCCAAAUGCAUAUAUCAAUUUAACCCAAGAUCAUUCAAAUUACCUCAAACAUUGGGUUAACUUGACCCUUAAAAAGGGUUAUUGAGUCAACCCAAAAUUUGGGUUAAUUUGAAUAACCCAACAUUCCAGGUCAAAAUAACCCAAUAAGUAGUCGGUCCCUUUUCAACCCUGGUUUUUAGAGUGUAGUUUGAGCCUAUAAUACUGUGGUAGAUGAAUAUUCAUAGUUGGUAUUUUUUCAGUUUAAAGUGGUCAGCCGGUCUGUUCUUGACGGUAGAUAAUGCCGAAGUUUGCAAACAGCCAUAGUUUACUGAUCGUGUUUCCAUUGGUUAUUAUUUUGUUGGCAUAGGUACAAUGUGUUAAAGUGGAUUCAUAUUUUAUAUCUCUAAGAGAGUGAUAGUAUUUGUUAUGUCAGCACAGUACAACUUAAACAGUGAUUUUAACUCAAAUUCAUCAUUGACAAGAACAAAAACCCCAAAUUGUAGUUUUGUCCUUGACUCAGCUUGUGUUUAUUUUUGCUCAGAGUCUGUGAGGCUGUCAAUUUAACCAACAAGGGAUGUAAAUGAGGUUUUUUUUUUCAGCUUUGUUGUUCUAGCCUGGAGGCUUUGAUGAAUUGUAGGUUUAUGUGAAAUGUUUGUCAUUAAUGGUGAUAACAAUGCUCUUUUGAAUGAGUUAAACAAGUGAAUGCCUUAUCAGUAUUGGUUAGCCAUCUAUUUUUUCAACCUCUUUCUUUGAGCCAAAUACUUUGGCUCAUUUUAAUCCAACUUUACCAAAGCUCUAGCCCUGUCUCUUUCUGCUUUGGUGCUGAGACUUGGCAAAUUAUUGGAGUGCAGUCAGUGACACAAUCAAAAACAGCAUGAAAAAGUCAAAGGCAGAUCUGAAAAAGAGGGGGGAAACAUCCUUUGAAGCAAAGUUUUUGAGAAAACCAAAUUAUUCACUCGACACUUUUACCUUAGUCAAUAACAUGAGCCUCGCUCACAGGAAGGCACUGGCAGCAGAGAGGAGACAAAGCAGCCGAGUGCUGCUGCUCAACUUUAAGUCAAGGGUUUUAUAAAGCUGGAGCUGUAAAAAUGGAGAGGACAUGGGUUUGUUAAGUUACAUUUUGGUUUGGCCAGCUAACAAACAAGGCAUCUUCACCACAGCAAAUACAGACAAAAUUAGUCCUAAGGAUUUCCCAGCAUCUUUUCUCUUUGUCACCGUCUUUGUUUGGAUCAAGUUCAUAAAUUAAAAAAAGCAGAAAGACUUCCUAGCAGAGAGAUUACACCAAAACAACAGGGCUUUAGCCAAAGCACUUUAUUAUUCUAUGACAAUGAUGGAUGAUCAGAAAUGUGUCCUGCUCAGCUGGGCUGACUCAUUUUUAAGGUGAUUACUGGGUUGUUAUUUCAAUACACCUGUGUGGGAAACUGAUAGCAAAAAUACAUCCUGGCUGCAGCACCUUAACUGUGUCAUGAGCCAUAAAACAGUUAUCACAAAAUGUCAAAAGAUGCUGGAAAAAAAGACUCUAAACAUCAUCCAGGAGCAGAGUGUCAUUAGUAAAAAACCUUACUCAUCUUUUCCAAAUAAGACAGAUCUUUUAAAAACACAGAGGAAUAUUUGAAAACUGGGCUGAUCACAGAGCAAAAUGUAGAUAAGUAAACAACAAUUGUUUAGAUAUGCAGGACAGAAAACAUGAUCUUAGCCACACAGAAACGAUAAUUGACCUGCCGGGCAUUAUUAUGAGAAUCAAAAGGUGUUUCUAGAGCUGGUUUGAACCAUUGACUAUAAUCUUUGUAACGUCACCCAUUUGUUUCUGAAGCAGUGUUUUGAAGACUAUCGGCAGUGGUUGCCACAUUGGAAAUGCUGAAUCAAUCAAGAGUCAGAGAGGUGGAAUUGAGGCGGAUCUUCAACCUCCUCGAAAAAAGCAACCAUGAAUUCAUCUGUCAGCAGCCUCUGAUUCCCCAAACUUGUAACCUCAAAAGCUCCAAAAUCAAAAUGUAUGUGUAAAUCCUCUCCCCUGUUAGAGAACCAAGUUAUGCGAUGCAAAACUAAGUUCUAAAAAUCAUUAUUUUUUAACAUCAGUUAUCUGACUGAUGCUUUCCAUAGAACUUUGCUCCAAUGUCUCUACACAUAGCAAGUUUAGGCCAUCGAUAAACUGCCAUAUUGAUAUUUUGUCCCACUCCUACAUGCAUCAUAGAAUGAUAAACCCAAAUGAAAAUAACAGAAAAGUACCAACAAGGCUGCAAUUUACCACACAGACACACUCGGCCAACAUGCACUACAAAUUAAAGAAAAUGGGAACAAAUAUGAACAUGAACACACUUCCUGUGGGGUUUAUCCUGGAUUAUCUAAGAUCCUAUUUCAGGAGAUGGACCUUUGCUUUGAGUGGUGUCUGACUCAGAAGAGAGCAGGUAUGACGUGCAGCACAGGGCCAUCCUCUGAUUGAUAAACCAUGUAUGUGUUUCCUCAGCUAACCCUACACGUGUACAUGUUUGAGUGUGUGUGUGUGUGUGUGUGUGUGUGUCUUGCGUGUCUUGCAUGUAAAAUAAAGACAUCAAGUCAAGAGUGUCUUUUCACUCUUGAGAGAGCUGGGUUUUUUUUUUUCCCCUCAGCUUCUUGUAGAUCACUCACACACAGAGACACACACACUUUUGACACUUGUGACUAGACAUGAACAAACCAAAUGCCAGAGGAGCAAUAAUUGGAACAGUCUUUUUGGUUUUAUUAUAUCAUUUUAAACAGGAUUCUCACAAGUAGGCGCCAACAUUAGAGAAAAGAGAAAAACAGGAGGAUGUUUUGGCCUGGGGGAAGAGUUUUGGAUCUUGAAAUUCUUGACAUUUAAGGGGUUGGAUCACAAGAAGCAGUCUGUGAAAGGAUUGUACAGACUUGGUGAGAUACAAAGGGAUUUUUUUGGCACACAACAGAAUGAUUGAAGGCACGCAAAACUCCUCCAGUCAUACAGAAGUCAAGAAAUGUAUUUUUGGUUUUGCCCCAUUCGAAAAAGCGGGUUACAUCAGGACAUACAGUAACUGAGCUGCAGGUAUUUACACCCUUACAUUCACCUAACACUCAUACACACACCAUCUACACACAUGUACAUAUACCUGUGCUCGUUUCACUGAGACUCCGGUAGCUCUCCACUGGACUCUUUUACCUCUAGAGCUGCUAUAAAUAGAAGUAUAUCACAUUGCAUCAAUCAAUCACAUUCAGCAUUUUCACUGGUUUGAUUUCGGCUAAAUUCUGAGAGUUUAUAGAACAAAUAAGAUUGGUAGUUUAGUGGCUACCAGAGUAACUCGAAGACUAGUAAACCAGUGACCUCAUGACACCCACCAGGGCAGAUACUGGGAGGCAGUGAGAUCAGAUGCUGAGGACAUCUCUCAUUUUUAUGUUCAUAUAGUUUGCUGUUACCAUCUUGAAAAGGGUAUUUACAAGACUCCACGUGGUACACUCCUAUUUUUAAAGGCUGUGGACUAUUAUCUGACAACAGUCAGAAAAACUGACAGGGAAACGUUAUAUCUUCACUCAGCAGCUGUUGUUGGUGAUCCUAUAAAGUAGGAUCCCCCAGAGGCUUCACUCAUGUGCUGAGAGCAGAUUGUGACUCGGCUCUAUAAAGGAAGCACAAAUGUGAGAGAGGAUGAAGCUUUGGCAUGAAAAACGGCAUAUAAUAUAUAGUUGACAAAAACUUAUGUAGUGUACCAUGUGGAGAACUCAUCCAAGUCAGGGCAACUUUAGCUCACCUUGACUGGCUAAUAUCUACCCAUUAUCUAUACCCCAAAUCCCAUCUGA
Molecule: non-coding RNA, 8726 nt
Organism: Xyrichtys novacula (pearly razorfish)
Lineage: Eukaryota; Metazoa; Chordata; Actinopteri; Labriformes; Labridae
Source: the annotation of a GenBank genome assembly